GCUUGUCUCAAAGAUUAAGCCAUGCAUGUCUAAGUAUAAACAAAUCUAUACUGUGAAACUGCGAAUGGCUCAUUAUAUCAGUUAUAGUUUAUUUGAUGGUUCUUGCUACUUGGAUAACCGUAGUAAUUCUAGAGCUAAUACAUGCAUCAAACCCCGACUUCUGGAAGGGGUGUAUUUAUUAGAUGGAAACCAAUGCGGGGUAACCCGGAAUAUGGUGAUUCAUAAUAACUUUCGGAUCGAUUUAUCGAUGCAUCAUUCAAGUUUCUGCCCUAUCAGCUUUGGAUGGUAGGGUAUUGGCCUACCGUGGCAAUGACGGGUAACGGAGAAUUAGGGUUCGAUUCCGGAGAGGGAGCCUGAGAAACGGCUACCACAUCUAAGGAAGGCAGCAGG
This 390-nucleotide ribosomal RNA is filed under the name Hibberdia magna. RNAcentral describes it as "partial small subunit ribosomal RNA". It matches the Rfam family "Eukaryotic small subunit ribosomal RNA", at positions 30 to 432 of the family's 1831-position model. Lineage: Eukaryota; Chrysophyceae; Hibberdiales; Hibberdiaceae. The record is from RNAcentral.